This 670-nucleotide ribosomal RNA is filed under the name Zagryphus zulaya. Its description in RNAcentral is "eukaryotic LSU rRNA". It matches the Rfam family "Eukaryotic large subunit ribosomal RNA", at positions 420 to 826 of the family's 3401-position model. The record is from RNAcentral. Lineage: Eukaryota; Metazoa; Arthropoda; Insecta; Hymenoptera; Ichneumonidae.
CCUGAGAAACCCAAAAGAUCGAAUGGGGAGAUUCAUCGUCAGCGAUCCUGGCGCGUGUGCGGUUCGUGAUGCCACGAGGCUUAUGUCUCCCGUGGCACGCGUCCGUAUGGUUUUAUUGCCAGGUGUCGUCGGCGUGCACUUCUCCCCUAGUAGGACGUCGCGACCCGUUGGGUGUCGGUCUACGGCCCGGGUGGGCGCCUGUCAUGUGUCACGCUUCACGGCGUCGUGUGGCAGACCCCCGGUUGUCUGGCCGGCUGCUCGGCGGUACUCGCACGGUAUCGGGCCGCAAAUAUUCGAACUGCGUCCGGCCCGCCGCAAGCGAGGUCAGUGUUUCCCGGAUGUACGGACCUAGCGCCGGCACCGGGCCUGGCCAGCUGUUGGUUGGCGGUGUCCUGGGACUGGCUCUUUAUUAAAUUAUGAUACCGGUCGGCGACGCUACUGCUUUGGGUACUUUCAGGACCCGUCUUGAAACACGGACCAAGGAGUCUAACAUGUGCGCGAGUCAUUGGGAACUCUUAAGCCUAAAGGCGCAAUGAAAGUGAAGGUCGGCCCUGCGCCGACCGAGGGAGGAUGGACCGCGUUACGAUGCGGCCCCGCACUCCCGGGGCGUCUCGUUCGCGUUGCGAGAAAAGGCGCACCCAGAGCGUACACGUUGGGACCCGAAAGAUGG